Mangifera indica (mango) is the source of this 2087-nucleotide RNA transcript. It is a transcript of the gene named CBL-interacting serine/threonine-protein kinase 12-like, with no coding region annotated. The record is from RefSeq and is a predicted model, not a curated record. The transcript has 3 exons. Lineage: Eukaryota; Viridiplantae; Streptophyta; Magnoliopsida; Sapindales; Anacardiaceae.
AAAAAAAAUAAAAAGUCUUUCCCUGAAAAAAGCAACUGUAUCCAAUCCGAACAUAAUUGUUUUGUGUUUUAUCGCUCAAAUCAAACCCAACCGAGAAAAACGAAAUCCCAGCUACUUGUUUCUCGAAUUCAACCUUCUUCAAUGCAACAAAACCAUCAUCAUUAAUUCGUUCUUCAAAUACCCUUUUUCCUCACCUCUUUGGCAUCCUUGAUUCAUUCAUUCAUGGCACAAACCGCCACCCCCACCGCCCCCCUCGCCAUCUCCAAGCCCAUCUCCACCUCUAACAAGGAACAAAGUCCGCUCUUAGGACGCUACGAGGUGGGAAAACUUCUCGGUCAUGGAACCUUCGCCAAAGUCUACCAUGCUCGCAACAUCAAGUCCGGCGAAAGUGUGGCCAUCAAAGUUAUUGAUAAAGAAAAGAUUUUGAAAGGUGGACUCAUCGAUCACAUCAAGCGUGAAAUCGCUAUUCUUCGGAGGGUUCGUCACCCGAACAUUGUGCAAUUGUUUGAAGUGAUGGCAACUAAGUCCAAGAUCUAUUUUGUUAUGGAGUAUGUUCGGGGUGGUGAACUCUUUAACAAGGUUGCUAAAGGGAGAUUAAAGGAAGAUGUUGCGAGGAAAUAUUUUCAGCAGCUAAUUUCAGCUGUCGGUUUUUGCCAUGCGCGUGGCGUUUUCCAUCGUGAUUUGAAACCUGAAAAUUUGCUACUUGACGAGAAUGGUGAUCUUAAAGUUUCUGACUUUGGACUUAGUGCUGUGUCCGAUCAAAUUCGUCAAGAUGGUUUGUUUCACACUUUUUGUGGGACGCCGGCUUAUGUGGCUCCGGAGGUUUUAGCGAGAAAAGGUUAUCUUGCAGCUAAGGUAGAUAUUUGGUCUUGUGGGGUGAUUUUGUUUGUGUUAAUGGCUGGCUAUUUACCUUUUCAUGAUCAAAACAUUAUGGCUAUGUAUAAGAAGAUUUAUAAGGGUGAAUUUAGAUGUCCAAGAUGGUUUUCUCCUGAGUUAAUUAGGCUUUUAUCAAGGUUACUGGAUACUAAUCCUGAGACAAGAAUCACUAUUCAGGGAAUCAUGGAAUUCAGGUGGUUUAAAAGGGGGUUUAAGCAUAUAAAGUUUUAUAUAGAGGAUGAUAAAGUCUGCAAUGUUGAGGAGGAUGACGAGACGGAUGUGGAAUCAUCAUCUGACACAUCAUUGUGUGAAUCAGACUCUGAAAUUGUAACAAGAAGGAAACCAACUUCGUUACCUAGACCGGCAAGUUUGAAUGCAUUUGAUAUUAUAUCCUUUUCUCCUGGAUUUGAUUUAUCUGGGUUGUUUGAAGAGGGCGGAGAGGGUACAAGAUUUGUGUCAGGAGCUCCGGUUUCAAAGAUUAUAUCCAAAUUGGAGGAGAUUGCAAAGUUGGAGAGUUUUACAGUAAGGAAGAAGGAUUGCAGAGUGAGUUUGGAGGGGUCGAGAGAAGGCGUGAAGGGGCCUUUGACAAUUGCAGCUGAAAUAUUUGAAUUAACCCCUAAAUUGGUGGUAGUGGAGGUAAAGAAAAAAGGAGGUGACAAAGCAGAAUAUGAAGAAUUCUGUAAUAAUGAAUUGAAACCUGGGUUGCAAAAUUUGACGAGCGAUGAAUCAGAAUCUGCUGUUGUUUCUGCUGUUGAUGCUUCUCAUUUGCCUUCAGAUACGGAAUAGAGAGAGGUAGAAGGGAAAAGAAUUCAGAAGUGGGCUUCAACCUUCAAUAAGGGUAUAUCGAUCUGGCUUUUCUUUCUCUAGAAGGAUACUGUGCUCCCCCACCCUUCUAAGGUUGUGAGAAUACUGUCUCUCCUUUUGAAUCUAGAUUGCCCAGGUCAGGAACAUGUUCAUCCCGACAUUCUUCUUCUGCAGAUUUGGAACACAUUCUGCAAACUUUGGGGGCGUUUGAAGGCUGGAGAGAAUGGUAUCCUUAUUUGCUUUUUUAUAGGUUAUAGUGAUCUUGUGUAGGAGAAACAUUCUCUUGUUUAUGUGUAUAGCAAGUUCAUAUAUGUAAGGGAGAUAUUUGAUGGACAGUUGAAUUUGAGAAAUAAAGGAAGAUGUAAAGCACAAAUUCUUAAUCUUCACAAUGCAUGCAAUUUGGUUGA